Molecule: ribosomal RNA, 252 nt
Filed under: uncultured bacterium
Lineage: Bacteria
Description: partial 16S ribosomal RNA
Rfam family: Bacterial small subunit ribosomal RNA
Source: RNAcentral
UACGUAGGUCCCGAGCGUUGUCCGGAUUUAUUGGGCGUAAAGCGAGCGCAGGUGGUUUAUUAAGUCUGGUGUAAAAGGCAGUGGCUCAACCAUUGUAUGCAUUGAAAACUGGUAGACUUGAGUGCAGGAGAGGAGAGUGGAAUUCCAUGUGUAGCGGUGAAAUGCGUAGAUAUAUGGAGGAACACCGGUGGCGAAAGCGGCUCUCUGGCCUGUAACUGACACUGAGGCUCGAAAGCGUGGGGAGCAAACAGG